ACCGAACCCACUAACGUUGAAAAGUUAGGGGAUGAGCUGUGGAUAGGGGUGAAAGGCCAAUCAAACACCGUGAUAGCUGGUUCUCCCCGAAAUGCAUUUAGGUGCAGCGUUGCGUGGUUCUUGUUGGAGGUAGAGCACUGGAUGGUCUAGGGGGCUUAUCGGCUUACCGAAAUCAGCCAAACUCCGAAUGCUGGCAAGUGUAGCGUGGCAGUGAGACGGCGGGGGAUAAGCUUCGUCGUCGAGAGGGAAACAGCCCAGAUCAUCAGCUAAGGCCCCUAAGUGGUGACUCAGUGGGAAAGGAUGUGGAGUUGCGUAGACAACCAGGAGGUUGGCUUGGAAGCAGCCAUCCUUGAAAGAGUGCGUAAUAGCUCACUGGUCAAGUGAUUCCGCGCCGAUAAUGUAGCGGGGCUUAAGUUAUCCGCCGAAGCUGUGGCAACCUGUGUGGUUGGGUAGGGGAGCGUCGUGUCAGUGGUGAAGCUGCCGGGUGACUGUGUGGUGGAGUUGAUGCGAGUGAGAAUGCAGGCAUGAGUAGCGUGUGACGGGUGGGAAUCCCGUCCGCCGAUUAUCCAAGGGUUCCAGGGUCAAGUUUGUCUGCCCUGGGUGAGUCGGGUCCUAAGGCGAGGCCGACAGGCGUAGUCGAUGGGUAACCAGUUGAUAUUCUGGUACCGGCUUGUCACCGUCCGUGUCG
This 688-nucleotide ribosomal RNA is filed under the name Pseudo-nitzschia pungens. RNAcentral describes it as "partial Bacterial large subunit ribosomal RNA". It matches the Rfam family "Bacterial large subunit ribosomal RNA", at positions 773 to 1466 of the family's 2925-position model. Lineage: Eukaryota; Bacillariophyta; Bacillariophyceae; Bacillariales; Bacillariaceae. The record is from RNAcentral.